GCGGGAAUAGCUCAGUUGGUAGAGCAUCAGCCUUCCAAGCUGAGGGUCGCGGGUUCAAGUCCCGUUUCCCGCUCCA
Molecule: transfer RNA, 76 nt
Filed under: Deltaproteobacteria bacterium
Lineage: Bacteria; Pseudomonadati; Myxococcota; Myxococcia
Also listed under: 1 other name
Description: tRNA-Gly
Rfam family: tRNA
About the family: Transfer RNA (tRNA) molecules are approximately 80 nucleotides in length. Their secondary structure includes four short double-helical elements and three loops (D, anti-codon, and T loops).
Source: RNAcentral